Long non-coding RNA from Glossina fuscipes, 684 nucleotides. RefSeq lists it as uncharacterized. The transcript has 3 exons. NCBI's taxonomy places the organism in Eukaryota, Metazoa, Arthropoda, Insecta, Diptera, Glossinidae. The record is from RefSeq and is a predicted model, not a curated record.
UCUAAAUAAGUGAUUAUUCUGCAGGUUUCAUAAUUUUAGACAAUGCUUUGAACCCAGCGGCUCAACUAGUUUUGAUUUGCUGACCCACAGAAAAAGAAGACAAUGCUUUGCAAUAAAAUUCUAGUCAUUAGUAAAUGGACUAAAAAUAUUACUGGUUUCGUCCAUCUUAAGUCAACAAAAAAAAAAAAAAUAAUACUAGAUAAUACUAAGUCUCGUACAAAUGUCGUGGUAGAUCGCAAAACCAUGGAAGGAUAAGCGGGAGGAUCCAAAUGGCCAUACCAAUGGCCAAUGACCAAUGGUUUACCAAAGAGGAAGUGAAAUCGACGUAGAUGCUACACGAUUGCUGAUAAAAAAUCAAUUUGAAAGGAAUAUGGGACCAUAUUUAGCAAACUGGGGACGCUCUGAACGAAAUAUUGUUUCAAUGCUGAUUCCAUGUUCAGCUGGCAUAGAAAUAAACACGCGCAUGAAAACAACGCCUUAAUUUUGUCACUCGUUUAUCACACUACCCAUGUAAUGCCAGGGCAACUCAAAUACAAACACGUACGUCGCCUGAAUUUAGACGGCUACGAAAUGGCGUCUUACUUGUUCCGUUUAUUAGAAAUGAAGUAUCCGGCACAUUUAAAUGCGAUUACUUUUACAUGCAACGAAAGUACCUUCCACAAUCAUAACUUUAUAGUUUGUAAU